This is a long non-coding RNA of Bradysia coprophila, 160 nucleotides long. NCBI's taxonomy places the organism in Eukaryota, Metazoa, Arthropoda, Insecta, Diptera, Sciaridae. The record is from RefSeq and is a predicted model, not a curated record.
GCUGAACAUCUCCAGCUGGUCGACAAAGACAAUACGUUUCUAUCGAAAACAAUUCAAAGGUAAGCUACACACUGUGCAUACAUACGUUAAGGUCAUGUAUGUGCGCACAUAACACGUAUGACUGUAGUAAACUCGUUGUUUAGGAUGGAUUUUGAUUGCA